ACCCUCCAAGAAGAGAGAAUCCAUUCCUGGACCCUUUUGCUAUGAGCAGUUGAUGCUGGCAUCCUUCUUUUUACUCCAGGAGGGGAAGAGAGGACGCGCAGGGCAGAGAGAGAGGGAGGAGAGCAACCCCGCGGCGAUGCCCACAGCUCUUGCCUUGUUGACGGCCCGGCGACCUUGCACCCGAAUAGAGAGAGACAGAGCGAUGCAGGCUUCCAGCUCCAGGAGGCGCACGGGGCCAACAUAAAGCCCCUGUGGCAAACACCGUGAAAUGCAGAAUGCUGUGAAGCAGGAGGAGGCGCUCACGGCCCAUGGAGGACACGGGUAACAGCACUGCGCUCAUCUCUAGCAGCUCUCGGCCAGGACAGCAGCGGCCCGUGGAGCAGGGGAGGGGCCCUGCAGACUUCCCGGCCCCACGGCGUCGCGUCCUGCGGGUCUCCCUGUCUCGGCACAGCCCACUCGCCUCCGGGGGACGCUCCCUCUCCAGCCAGCCCUGCCUGCUCAGGGUCCCUGCUCCACGGCGCUCCUGAGCUGCCAGCUUCCUGAUCCCCUCAGCGAGACGUGAGCACCACGUAGUAAGUGCUGCUGGGAGAACUUUCGUUCCUGCAGAAGUUUCUACUAAAUAGUCUCACACCAGGGCCC
This is a long non-coding RNA of Heterocephalus glaber (naked mole-rat), 639 nucleotides long. NCBI's taxonomy places the organism in Eukaryota, Metazoa, Chordata, Mammalia, Rodentia, Bathyergidae. The record is from Ensembl.